GACGAACGCUGGCGGCGUGCUUAACACAUGCAAGUCGAACGGAAAGGCCCUGCUUUUGUUGGUUUCUUGUUUGCCGAACGGGUGAGUAUCACGUGUGUAACCUCCCCUUAUCUUUGUGAUAACUUCUGGAAACUGGGGCUAAUACCCCAUAUGAUCUCCUGCUGCAUGUUGUGGUUUGGAAAGUUUCGGAGUUUGUGGAUGGACUCGCUGCUUACCAGCUUGUUGGUGGGGUAGUGGCUUACGAAGCCUUUGACGGGUAGCCUGCCUGAGAGGGUUAACGGCCACAUUGGGACUGAGAUACGGACCAGACUCGUACGGGAGGCAGUAGUGGGGAAUAUUGCAAAAUGGGCGGAAGCCUGAUGCAGAAACGCCGCGUGCGGGAUGACGGGCUUCGGGUUGUAAACAGAUUUGGACUGAGACGAAGAGAGAGUGACGGUAAUGGGUAAAGAAGCAACGGCUAACUACGUG
RNAcentral lists this ribosomal RNA (468 nucleotides) under uncultured bacterium. RNAcentral's name for it is "partial 16S ribosomal RNA". It matches the Rfam family "Bacterial small subunit ribosomal RNA", at positions 28 to 507 of the family's 1533-position model. The record is from RNAcentral.